AAUGAACGCUAGCGGCAUGCUUUAUACAUGCAAGUCGAACGAGUGGCGGACGGGUGAGUAAUAUAUCUGAACUUGCUCAGUAGCGGGGGAUAACUACUCGAAAGAGUGGCUAAUACCGCAUACUAUUGGAGCGGCCGAUAUCGGAUUAGCUAGUUGGUGGGGUAAAGGCUCACCAAGGCAACGAUCCGUAGCUGGUCUGAGAGGGUGACCCGCCACACUGGGACUGAGACACGGCCCAGACUCCUACGGGAGGCAGCAGUAGGGAAUUUUCGGCAAUGGGGGAAAGCCUGACCGAGCCAACCCGCGUGUGUGAGAAGGCUUUCGGGUUGUAAAAUACUUUUGUCAGAGAAGCGGUAUCUACAGAGUAAGCACCGGCUAACUACGUGCCAGCAGCCGCGGUAAUUC
RNAcentral lists this ribosomal RNA (405 nucleotides) under uncultured bacterium. RNAcentral describes it as "partial 16S ribosomal RNA". It matches the Rfam family "Bacterial small subunit ribosomal RNA", at positions 29 to 526 of the family's 1533-position model. The record is from RNAcentral.